This is a long non-coding RNA of Sinocyclocheilus grahami, 3135 nucleotides long. Ensembl lists it as uncharacterized. NCBI's taxonomy places the organism in Eukaryota, Metazoa, Chordata, Actinopteri, Cypriniformes, Cyprinidae. The record is from Ensembl.
CUCUCAACACACACACACACGCACAAAGGUUUUCUCCGAAGUCUUUCCCCUCCCUCCAUCUGGCGAUCCGUCACCCCUCCUCCAGCCGCUGAUGGUCCUGCUGUAGGCAGUCUGCUCGUUCUCUUCAGUGUGAGGACAGCACACACUCCUUCACAACCAGCCUCUGUCUCUCACAUACACUCCUGUCUCAAACUAUUCUGACAAUAUGUUUAAAACUGGAUAUACCCCAAGCAGCACACCCUCCUGGAGCAUUUGAACUAUUUGAGCACUCGAUUCAGAAGAAGGAAGAUCAAUCAGCAGUAAGGUAUGAGUUGUGCUUGAAUAAGCCAACAAGGAGGGGUUUCUUCCUCUUGACACUGAAAACUACUGAAGUUUGGGGCAUCCACGAUGAGUCUUAAGAAGAGGAAACCAAGCAUGGUGUUCAGCUGGCAAAAGUCUUUCACCAUCCUUGCCCCGUGGAGAAAAGGUAAAAGGGAUAUUGUUUUAGACAAUGAAGUUGUACUGACAAAAAUGAAGCUCCUCAACAACUUCCCUGAGAAACUCCUUAAUGUUGAGGAUUCCAUUUCAACCAUCUCCGUUUCAAUGUCUGAGCAGGAUAACACAGAACCUCUACAGGCUGAUGAAGUGAUCUCCGUCCACAGCGCUGCUCCUGAGACAACUUUCUCUGAAUCAAAAAAAGACUACCUAUCUUCUAUUUUUGCUGAUUCUGAGCUUCCAAGAUUGUACAAAUUUGAAUCUGAGGACUCUGGGGUAGAGAUGACUAGUGGAGCAACUUCUCCAUCCACCCCAACUGGUUCAGAGCAAAGCUUUGUGGUCCACAGUAGGGAGUCUUCAUGUGACUCUGGCAACCUGAACUCUCUUGUACCUGCUGACAAUCCUCUUGAAGACAGUUCAGUCUUCUUGGAAACUGAACAAACAUCUUGUAAGUGUGCUAAACAAGACACUCUUACCAUCCUGGGAGACAGAACAGAUGAAGAGAAUGUUGAUGAUGAUUUAAUAGACAUCACAGCAGAUUCAGAGAGGUCAGGUGACAGAACUCUGAGGAACACCAUGGAGAACUGUAAGGAUGCCAUUGAAAUCAUGGCAGCACAGGAGGAAAUAACAGACACUGCAAUGGCUGAGGACACAAUCUCAAGGAACCACUAUUCUAUAGAAGCUUACGAUGGCAAAACAGGACCUGAAUUUCAGCAACAGCCUUUGAGGAAAAGUACAACCAGCGACAGUCUGGAUGAAUACAUGGAAGAGUGCUGCAGGCUCAGUGAGGUGAACCAAGCCAAUCAGUCCAACCCACUGGGCUCUGGACUGGGGUACCUAGAGCACAUCUGCCAACUCAUAGAGAAGAUCGGACAGCUACAGAAACACAACCUUCGACUACAGAAACAGAUCUGUGGCCUGCAGAAGGAAGGCCGAGUGAUCAAGACUAAAGAGGACUUUUUUAUGCACCACUGUAGCUGUGGAGCAGCCAACUUGGCCUUCCAAGAGCUCAAGAGACACUUUCGCAGUGACCACUACAGCCUGACGGCAUCAAGCAGCACACUGUCUGACCUCAGCACAAUCCCUGAGGUCACACGUAUCCCGCUCAGGGCAGCCAUGAGAGAUGGUGACAUGGGCUGCCAACCUGCUCUUCCUGUUUGGAGGAGGGGUCUGAAUCGGAGGAGCUACACAGAGGGAGAGGCAAAGUACCUGAGUGACAGCGCUGAGGUCCUCUCUGCUCCGCACAGACGGUUGAGUGAGAACUAUACAUGGGGAAGAGUGAAGGAACUGGUGAAGAAGACCAAACUGAGGAACCAGAGCCAGCUGGGACUGUCUUCAGGCUCCCUGAAGAGAUCAUGUCCACAGCUUUACCGCCCAGAUUUGAUGUCAGCAGAACGGCCGAGGACAAACAGAAACUCCAUGAUCGCUCUGGGCCAUCAGAAACGGGACUAUCUGUGGCCACAGUAGUAUUAAACAGACACUGAGUAGAUGGACUGCGAUGGGGCAACUUUUCCAAAAAGCAAAGGACAAAGUGGUGGUUUUUGCAAUUUGCAGAUGGUUUUUCCAGACUGAGGAACAAGAUGGGAGAGAAAUUCACAAGAAAACAAUGAACGGGAUUUGAAUAACGAUAGAAAAAUGUUGGUGUCAUGUGUAUAUAAUACUAAGAGAGAUGAUUAUAUGUUGAUGAAAGUGUUAAGUUGACCUGUUGAUGGAGCUUGUUUGUGUGUCAUGACAUUCCUAUAAAUGUCAUUAAUUCAGAUAAAGCACUCAUUAGAUUUGUCAGCUAAUGAGGUACUAUUAAAGACGAUAUAUACGUGGAAAAAUUAUUUACAGAAUGUGAUCAGACAAAGGGAAUUACAGUAAAUCCUUAUGUAUAGUCUAAUGUAAAUUUCUACCAGGACAAUUUACCAGACACUGUCCUGUUUGUAAAACACUUGAAAUACAUCCAAAUGAUAACAAAUGUUGAACAAGCAUGCUAUAACUUUAUAUAGAUCAUUUUGUAACACUAUUAUAAGAACUGCCAUGUGUAAGUGUGUAUAUACAGACAGAACAAAUAUGCAUGUGCAUAUGAGAGUGGAUAAGAGGCGCUCCCACGUCUGAAUUCCUGUAUCUACAGACAUAUAUAUCACUGUGAUGAUGGGGCUUAUGAUAACAUGUAAAUGACUUAUGGCAGUUCUGUAUGCAGCUCACCUGUCUGAUGUUAUAUAAAGUGUGUGACCUUUCUUUUCCCUAAAAGUUAAGCAAUGCCUUCCUUAAAAUAUCAUCCUUAAAUAUGAAUUAAAAAGGGCUUCCUACGUGCCUGCCAAAUAUCAGCCCAAAGACAUAAACGCUGUUAUGAAUAAAAGGCAGUAUAAAGUGGUCAUAACACUUUACUAAACUUAUAAAUGCACCUCAGGGAGAACGCGCAAAUAAAAAAAAGAAGUUAUGAAUUGACCCUUUUGAAUUAAUAAGGUGUUUAAUUCAGGCUAUUACUAAUAAACACUACACUCUAAAACUACACUGUUUGACCGCUGGGUCAAAACAACCCAAUAGCUGGGUUUGUCCCUUUUUAACCCAGCACUGGGUUAUAUUUAACCCAGCAUUUUUAGCGUGUACUGUUAAUCCACAGUGAAAACAGUCAGAUCUCCUUGACAACAUUAAGUUAAGCUCAGAAAGUGAGCA